CCUACGGGUGGCAGCAGUGAGGAAUAUUGGUCAAUGGACGCGAGCCUGAACCAGCCAAGUAGCGUGAAGGAUGACUGCCCUACGGGUUGUAAACUUCUUUUAUAUGGGAAUAAAGUGUUGCACGUGUGGCUUUUUGUAUGUACUUUAUGAAUAAGGAUCGGCUAACUCCGUGCCAGCAGCCGCGGUAAUACGGAGGAUCCGAGCGUUAUCCGGAUUUAUUGGGUUUAAAGGGAGCGUAGAUGGGUUGUUAAGUCAGUUGUGAAAGUUUGCGGCUCAACCGUAAAAUUGCAGUUGAUACUGGCAGUCUUGAGUACAGUUGAGGUAGGCGGAAUUCGUGGUGUAGCGGUGAAAUGCUUAGAUAUCACGAAGAACUCCGAUUGCGAAGGCAGCUCACUAAACUGCAACUGACACUGAUGCUCGAAAGUGUGGGUAUCAAACAGGAUUAGAUACCCGGGUAGUC
RNAcentral lists this ribosomal RNA (460 nucleotides) under uncultured bacterium. Its description in RNAcentral is "partial 16S ribosomal RNA". It matches the Rfam family "Bacterial small subunit ribosomal RNA", at positions 338 to 795 of the family's 1533-position model. The record is from RNAcentral.